AUGUUUUUUUAUACUUCAACCUGCUUUUUCAGGGGAGAGACUUCAACCUGCUUUUUCAGGGGGAGAGACUUCAACCUGCUCAUAAAUGGAGGCUUUAUCCCCUCCAUGUUAGCUGGGCUGAGUCUUGCUAGCCCAGCAACUUUGUUAUCAUAUGUUGUCAGGCCUUCGAUGAUGGUCCGUCUAUAUAGGCCGAUCAUGCCUAUUGCAGCUUCUGGCAUUAUGGGGUUGUUUGGAUUGAGCCAAUGGCCACCCAGCCAGAAAGUUGUGUUAGCUGCAAGCUGGGCAUAUGUUUGGAUGAGUGCCAAUUAUUUAGAUUGUGCCACCGCUGCAUAG
This 333-nucleotide ribosomal RNA is filed under the name Triticum aestivum (bread wheat). RNAcentral describes it as "partial small subunit ribosomal RNA". Lineage: Eukaryota; Viridiplantae; Streptophyta; Magnoliopsida; Poales; Poaceae. The record is from RNAcentral.